CAGAGACAGGGUCUUCGCUCAAGCUGUUCCACUUAAGGAAAUGAGAAGAAAGAAUAGGCUGGAUCAAAGCAGAAAGAAUAGGCUGAUGGAAGGAUCCAUGAAAACCAUACAAGGCUGAAAAAGAAUGAUCAACUAGUGUCACCAGUCCUCCCACGUGUUUACCUUCAUAUGUAAAAGCAUCAGAUGAGAGAAAGGCAGAGAAAUAGCUUAAUGGGAAAGCAGAAAAAGAAAGGGAAAGCUGCAAGGGCCCAAAAGAAUAUCGGAAAAACAAACACAUAUGAGUACUUAGGAACAAGCAAGAGCUACCAGAAAGAUGAGUAAAAGACAAAAAAUAUUUCUGAAGAAAACCAGCCACAGAGAAG
Molecule: long non-coding RNA, 362 nt
Filed under: Gallus gallus (chicken)
Lineage: Eukaryota; Metazoa; Chordata; Aves; Galliformes; Phasianidae
Description: long non-coding RNA NONGGAT001189
Source: RNAcentral